RNAcentral lists this ribosomal RNA (327 nucleotides) under uncultured eukaryote. RNAcentral describes it as "partial 18S ribosomal RNA". It matches the Rfam family "Eukaryotic small subunit ribosomal RNA", at positions 1470 to 1796 of the family's 1831-position model. The record is from RNAcentral.
CCCUUAGAUGUUCUGGGCCGCACGCGUGCUACACUGAGUGGAUCAGCGGGUCAGGUUGCGCGAAAGUGUUUCCUAAUCUUGAAAUCCGCUCGUGAUGGGGAUUGACGGUUGCAAUUUUCUGUCAUGAACGAGGAAUACCUUGUAAGCGCGGGUCAUCAUCCCGCGCUGAAUACGUCCCUGCCCUUUGUACACACCGCCCGUCGCUCCUACCGAUUGAACGGUUUAGUGAGGGCCUCGGAUUGGUCUCGGCCCGCUCUUUACCGGGCGGCGCCGUUGGUCGAGAAGACGCUCGAACUUGAUCGUUUAGAGGAAGUAAAAGUCGUAACA